Molecule: ribosomal RNA, 251 nt
Filed under: uncultured bacterium
Lineage: Bacteria
Description: partial 16S ribosomal RNA
Rfam family: Bacterial small subunit ribosomal RNA
Source: RNAcentral
UACGGGGGGGGCAAGCGUUCUUCGGAAUGACUGGGCGUAAAGGGCACGUAGGCGGCGAAUCGGGUUGAAAGUGAAAGUCGCCAAAAAGUGGCGGAAUGCUCUCGAAACCAAUUCACUUGAGUGAGACAGAGGAGAGUGGAAUUUCGUGUGUAGGGGUGAAAUCCGUAAAUAUACGAAGGAACGCCAAAAGCGAAGGCAGCUCUCUGGGUCCCUACCGACGCUGGGGUGCGAAAGCAUGGGGAGCGAACAGG